Molecule: ribosomal RNA, 236 nt
Filed under: uncultured bacterium
Lineage: Bacteria
Description: partial 16S ribosomal RNA
Rfam family: Bacterial small subunit ribosomal RNA
Source: RNAcentral
CGGGACGGGGUGGAGUAAUGUCUGGGAAACUAGCCUGAUGGAGGGGGAUAACUACUGGAAACGGUAGCUAAUACCGCAUAACGUCGCAAGACCAAAGAGGGGGACCUUCGGGCCUCUUGCCAUCGGAUGUGCCCAGAUGGGAUUAGCUAGUAGGUGGGGUAACGGCUCACCUAGGCGACGAUCCCUAGCUGGUCUGAGAGGAUGACCAGCCACACUGGAACUGAGACACGGUCCAG